Molecule: ribosomal RNA, 760 nt
Filed under: uncultured bacterium
Lineage: Bacteria
Description: bacterial SSU rRNA
Rfam family: Bacterial small subunit ribosomal RNA
Source: RNAcentral
UUUGCGCCGAUUGCCUUGAGUUGAUCAUGGCUCAGACGAACGCUGGCGGCGUGCCUAACACAUGCAAGUCGCGCGAGAAAAGGGGGGCAACCCCCUGAGUAAAGCGGCGCACGGGUGAGUAACACGUAGGUAACCUACCCUCGAGUCCAGGAUAACCCGCCGAAAGGUGGGCUAAUACCGGAUAUGACCACGGGAGUCUCGGCUCCUGCGGUGAAAGAUGGCCUCUGCUUGCAAGCUAUCGCUCGAAGAUGGGCCUGCGCGCCAUUAGCUAGUUGGUGAGGUAACGGCCCACCAAGGCAUUGAUGGCUAGCUGGUCUGAGAGGAUGGCCAGCCACACUGGGACUGAAACACGGCCCAGACUCCUACGGGAGGCAGCAGUGGGGGAUAUUGCGCAAUGGGCGAAAGCCUGACGCAGCGACGCCGCGUGGGUGAUGAAGGCCUUCGGGUCGUAAAGCCCUGUCGAGGGGAAAGAAACGGUUCCGACCCAACACGUCGGGAUCCUGACGGUACCCCUAAAGGAAGCACCGGCUAACUCCGUGCCAGCAGCCGCGGUAAUACGGAGGGUGCGAGCGUUGUUCGGAAUCACUGGGCGUAAAGGGCGUGUAGGCGGCCCGCUAAGUCUGAUGUGAAAGCCCGGGGCUCACCCCCGGAAGUGCAUUGGAAACUGGCGGACUCGAGUCCCGGAGAGGAGAGUGGAAUUCCUGGUGUAGCGGUGAAAUGCGUAGAUAUCAGGAGGAACACCGGUGGCGAAGGCGGCUCU